Hevea brasiliensis (rubber tree) is the source of this 2087-nucleotide long non-coding RNA. RefSeq lists it as uncharacterized. Lineage: Eukaryota; Viridiplantae; Streptophyta; Magnoliopsida; Malpighiales; Euphorbiaceae. The record is from RefSeq and is a predicted model, not a curated record. The transcript is spliced from 4 exons.
AAGUUGUGAUGACUUUAAAAGAUUGUAAACGAAAACUUUCUAGGGUUUUAAUUGAAAAACAUCUGUGUAGGUUGGGGAUUUCGUUGUAAUUUUUCCUCCUAUUUAUCACACUUUCCCUCUCUUUCUUCCCUCCCUUCCAAGUGACAAUAUCAGAGAAGACUAGAAGAGCAGUUAACAGUUUCUUUGCCUUUAGCAUUCCCCAAGGGGGAGAAGAUUAAUUCCGCUGUAUUCUCAGUUUACAGAGAAAGACACACGCAUAGCUCUAUCACUAUCAGCUUGGCCUUGCCAAAAUGGGGCCGGAAUCUGGACUCCUCAGUCCCUCUAAUCCCUCUACUGAGGUUCUCACAUAGGCCCUUGGUAUCCCCUUGUUCUGUAAUGUGCUUACACUAUGAAAACUAGAGUAUGAAUGCCUCUAUUGUGAGGAAAUAGAUACAAAAGAAAUUCAAAAUUAGAGGGUACACGCUCAAAGUUGAUGCUUUUGAAGAGAUCCUCUCCUUUGUCAACAGCUUCCAAGGUGCUGAAGAUGAGGCCGUUGAUCUCCUCCUAGGUCACCUUCAAUAUGAAUCGCAGAAAGUGGGAGUGAAAUCUUUCAUAAUUGACAAGGAGCCAAUACAUCAUGUUAUAACCAGUUUAUUUGAAGCUGAGGAUGCAGUGGAGCACCCCAAACGAGAUAGUUUCUACUAGUUCCGCAAUUCCCGUGAUUGAUGCUAUUUUAGUCCCCAAAUUUCACUUUGUUCCCAUCAAGAAGCAGUUUUAUCAGUCUUGAUGAUGCAGGUUAUAUUAAAUGGUUUUCAGAUGCUGUUCACCUUUUCAUAAAUAGCUUUACUUUUUUAUAUGAGAUGAGGAUGAUCAAUGCUUUGACUACUUCAGGUGCAUCAACUGUACUAUCUUGGUGCACUUUACCAAAAUCUCUAACUGAAGAGCUUCUGAAGCACAUUCCAAAAGCCAUAUUUUUCAGUAAUCCUUGCUGGUUAAUCUGUCUGAUCACUGAUUAGUUAAAACAAAUAAACUUGUUAUGCUCAGCAAAGUCUUACUUUCUUUUAUUGGCUUCUGGAAAGCAAAUAAACUUGUUAUACUCCAAAGGAUACCCAGCAAAGUCUUACUUUUCUUUUAUUGGCUUUUGGAAUUUACAUUAUUUUGAAUUCUGGGGACAAUUUAAUAAUGAAGGCUUAAACAUGAUUUUUUGAAAACAUUUUACAACUUGAAAUAGUGAAACCAUGAUGUGUAAGGGUUUAAUGUGUGCUUUAACUCUAUGCAAACGCUUCUUAUUUAAAUGCAGGGUCAAGUUCUACACUAAAGAAAUUGUAUUUUUUUCGUUCUGCUAUAUAGGAUGCGUCAGUCAUGUUCGCCCCCAUCUACGGAGGAAACUGCUGAUCCUUUUGAACAUGUUUUCUUUUUUCUCCCCUCUAAACCUUGUUUUUCAUACAUUCUACUGAUGCAUUUCAUCACUUUGGGGUUAUUGGUCAACCAUAUUAAUGGGUUUUGACUUCUUUUACAGCUGGUUGCCACUAUAACCCAUCAAAGUCGUCUCUGCCCAGUUCCUCUUACUGUUCAGCGGGUUAUCUGGAAUUAUGUUCAUUGUCUCCAUCUUUAUCCCUCUCCACAUAUACUAUUGCUGAUAUCUUUCUUUGGUCCUUUUUCCAUUAUCAAAUCCUGUUUUCCUCAAACUAACAUCAUUUUGACAGUGAGAAGAAGCCAAACUCAUUUAACGCAUUUCACAUAUUGUUUUAGGUGAUAAAAGUGAGCUGAAGGCGUUCAAAUACAAAGGAAUCACUUGUUUCAACCCUGGAUCCUAUGACAACACCUUUGUAGCGCAUCGUCCUUGCACUCAAGAAGUUGAGUUUUCGGAAUCGUGAUUAUCAAUGGGAGUUCUGAGUAUUUUUUAGCAAAUGAAAAAGUGCGUGCUUAUUUACGCCAUCAAUCCCUUUUGAAGUUUUCUAGGCAAUUGAUAUUUAGGUGAAAAUAUAGAUUUUUUUUUUCUCUUUAGGGGGCAGUAAAUUGUUUUGGAUUGCGAAUUUUGCCUUUAUUUGGUGAAUACAAUUCCUCUCUUUGAUAAAUUUUAAAAUACAACUAUGUAAUUAUAAUCA